This 4279-nucleotide unclassified non-coding RNA is filed under the name Hevea brasiliensis (rubber tree). The record is from RNAcentral. Lineage: Eukaryota; Viridiplantae; Streptophyta; Magnoliopsida; Malpighiales; Euphorbiaceae.
GUCCGAAAAAGACACUUUAUUUUCCGAAAACAUGUUUUCGUUUUCUUGCCGUUAACCCCAAUACGACACCGCACAUCUCUCCUGAACGCAGAAAACGCUAAAACGCCUAUUGGACCGGAAACAUGUACGAAGGCAUGGGCGGCAAUUAGAUGGAGCAGUUCCACUGCAACGAGGCGAUCUCAGCCGUUGCUGACGAUGGAUUUUUGGGCGAAGAGGACGACGAUUACGAGGAUCUUUACAACGACGUCAAUGUGGGUGAGGGUUUCUUGCAAUCUAUUAGGAAAAAUGAGGAUUUAGGGUUUCAAAAUCUGGAUUGUAGCAACAAUAAUAACAACACUAGCGCUGAGAAAAAGAUCAACCCACCUGUUGUUGUAGCGCCGAAUCCAGGUGGUGCCGUGACUGGAGAUAAUAAUAUUUCUAGACUUUCUAGUUAUGAAAAUCAGGGCUUUAGGGGGAGUGGUGUCGGGCAGAAAGGACCCACUGGUCUAUCCGGUGGGUUUAGGGUUGAAUUGGGGCAGAAUUUUAGUAAAGUGAAAGACGUUGAAGAGCAGAGCGGUAACAAUACUAGCCUUAUUAGCUGCAGCAGCAACAACAAUAAUAACAAUGGAAGUGUUCAAGGGAAUAUCGGCCAGCAGUCUAGUGGUGGUGGGGGUGGUGUGAAUGUAGGCAAUAUACCCAAUGAGAGUAUGGGUAGGAAUGUGAAUGGAGGAAAUAUGAUUGGUAAUGGUACUGGUGCUGGAGCUGUGGGUGCCGGUGGAGGAGGUUCUGGUGGAGGUGGGACUUUAUUGUUUGUUGGGGAUUUGCAUUGGUGGACAACGGAUGCAGAGCUAGAGGCUGAGUUAUGCAAAUAUGGCGUGGUAAAGGAAUUGAAGUUUUUUGACGAGAAAGCAAGUGGAAAGUCAAAAGGGUACUGUCAAGUUGAAUUUUAUGACCCUGCUGCAGCUGCGGCUUGUAAGGAAGGGAUGAAUGGGCAUUUAUUUAACAGAAGGCCAUGUGUGGUGGCUUUUGCAUCUCCUUAUAGUGUGAAGAGGAUGGGAGAAGCUCAGGUAAAUAGGAAUCAGCAUAUGGCUCAGGCUUCACUUGCUCAAGCACGGAGGGGGAAUAAUGAUGGGGGGAAGAGUGGGGGUGAAGGUGGUUCAAGUGGUGGUGCUAUUGCAACUGGUGGAAAUUAUCAAGGUGGGGAUGGAAAUAGAGGAUAUGGGAGAGGAAAUUGGGGGAGAGGGAAUGGGCAAGGGGUGGGCGGUAGAGGCCUGGCUGGUCCAAUGAGGAAUAGGGCUGGUGGUGGGAUGGGUGGGAGAGGUAUAAUGGGAAAUGCUGGAAAUGGUUUUGGCCAGGGCAUUGGUGCUACCCCUCCUUUAUUGCAUCCCAAUUCAAUAAUGGGGCAAGGGUUUGAUCCAUCAUUUGGUGCACCUAUGGGGAGAAUGGGGACUUAUGGGGGCUUUCCUGGGGCUCCUACACCUCCUUUUUCAGGGAUUUUACCUUCCUUCCCACCUGUUGGAGGUAUGGCGUUGCCUGGAGUUGCUCCACAUGUAAAUCCAGCAUUUUUUGGAAGAGGAAUGCCAAUGAAUGGCAUGGGAAUGAUGCCUGCAACUGGUGUUGAUGGAACCAAUAUGGGAAUGUGGUCAGAUCCUAUUAUGGGUGGAUGGGUUGGGGAGGAGCAUGGUGGUGGAAGAGCUGGCGAGUCUAGUUAUGGUGAGGAAGCUGCAUCUGAUCAUCAGUAUGGUGAGGUUAGUCGCGAUAGAGGAGGUCGGCAGAACACCAUGAAGGAGAAAGAUAGAGCUUCAGAAAGAGAAUGGUCUGGAUCCUCUGAUAGAAGGUGCCGGGAUGAUAGAGAAGCGAGGUGUGAUAGAGAGAUGUCUAGAGAAAAAGACAUAGGUGGUCAUGAUCGUGACUGGUCAGAGAGAAGGCAUCGUGAUGAAAGGGAAGUUGGUAGAGAAAGGGAGAGGGAGCGUGAAAGGGAUAGGGAACAUUCUCGAGAUCAUGAGCGUGAGCGAGAAAGGGAUCGCAAUUGGGACUGGGAUCGUGAUCGUUAUAGGGAAGACCGGGAUAGAUAUGCUGAUCAUCAUAGGUACAGGGAUCGUGAAGUGGAGCAAGAUGAUGAUUGGGACAGGGGUAGGUCUUCACGGACUCACUGCAAAUCAAGAAUAUCACAAGAGGAGGACCAUCGUUCAAGAUCAAGGGAUUCUGAUUAUGGGAAGAGACGAAGGCUUACAUCAGAGUAACAUAGUAAACUGCCUACAAUUAGCUAAGUUCAGAAAGUAUUGGGUUCAUCAAAUUUAUUUUGAAUCUCAUUCAAGGGGUUUUUUGGGUUCUUCAUUUCCUGAGCUGCAGUUCUCAUUUCAUUACCUGAAGUUUCUCUGUUUGCUUCUUCCCAUGGCAGCAUGGAUGCAUUAUCUUGCAAAAGAGGUAAGCUGCUGAACUCCAGCAUAUUAGGAUUUCAAUUUUGUGGUUUUCUGGCUGUAGUUCAGGGAUCUUUUUUUAUUUCCAAUUUUUGUGUGGUUCUCUGUGUCAGUGUUACUUAUAAUUCAUGCAUUUGAAUUGGUUAAUAGCGGCAUCAAAAUCGCAGAACUACCUCAAAUAGUCCUCGUAAAUUGUAUAUUUUACCGUUGGCUAGCUUUUUUCAGUGGAAUAUAUGAACAAAUCAUUGACUUUAGUUUGACGAUAUUAAUAUUGCUUGAAUUUGCUUGUCUGUUCCUUGCAUUCCUCCAUCACCCUAAACUUGCCUUUUUUCAAAAUUAAAUUUCCUUCUCCAAUUGUUAUUUAUUUUUGUUGUGAAGGCUCUGUAGCAUUUUAACUGCUCCUAUAAUCUGGAUGUUUCAAACAUUUGUAAUUUUGAAGUCUUUUGUUGCGGCUUUAGCUUUUCAUUUUAGUUUUCUUUUGUGUUUACCUUUAUUUUGAAUCAAGUCCUUUCUUUAUAGCUAAUGUUUUUAUAGUUUUUCAUGAUUAUGGCAAUCAUGUUGAAAGCAGUAUGGUUGGAAGUGGAGGUUAAAUAUGGUUGAUGUUUUAAGUUCUGAACAUCCUUUGAUGUCCUAAGAAUGCUAAUUCAUACUGCUCAAAGCAAUAAACUGGUUGGUGGUUACUUAUGAGAAUGAUUGUUUGGGGCUCUGGUGACGAUUAUGGUUAAUAUUAGUAAUUGAAGGUGUGAAUUUCUGAUAAAGUUCAAAAUGUACUAAUUCAAAUUAGAUCAUGAAUUAGCUUUAAUUACAGCUGGACUAUAUUAAUUCAUCUGGCAUGUGAAAAUAAAAGUAAUCUCUCAUUCUCUUCUCGUAUAUGUAUUUUGUUGUGGCCUUCACAAGAUGCUUAGCUUUGCCCUUGCAUGCAUUUGUUUGCUUGUGUCAUGUAUCAUGAAAUACCUAUGUAAAUCCUGUGAAUGAGGUAUCAUCAUUUCUGUAUAUAUUUAAGCAUAUGAUGCAUUUUAGGACAUUUCCCUCCUUUCCCAACUUAAUUUUUGGUGAGUAUGACUAUGAACCCUUGGAUAUUUGGUUAUAGUUGGUGUAAAAUGAGAAGGCUAUGACCAUAUUAUUUUUUUCACAUGAAAUAUCAUUUCCUAAUGUGGUGAACAGUGCAUGUUUCUCAUAUGUUUGUUUUAUUAAUAGCUUGAAGGCAUAUGAUCUUGAGAAUCAAGGCUGUUCGACAGAGUUGUAGGUUAUAAACAGAGAUGACAAGUACCUCAACCUUCUAUUUGAGAGACACCGCAAUGAACCUGCUCUUUGCCUGCAUUGAUGUAGAAGCGGAACUUUUGGUUUUAAGUUGUUAGCUUUCCUUUCUCGUUUAUUUUUCAAUUAAUUAACACUUGAUCAUCGAACCAAUGUUGUGGAUUAUGUUAUGGCUUGAAAUUGCUGAAGUCUGGAUGUGGUAGAUUAAUAUAGAUCUUACUGUUUGAAUGUGAUGUAAUAGGAUUUAGAUUAGAGGAUGUUACUGAUGUGCCCUUUCUGAUUAACUAGUUGUAUCCUUUCUAGCUUCUUUCCUUUUGUUUUGAGUAUACCUCCAGAUUGGCCAUGCAGGUUUUGUGAAGAAUGUAGAUUCUUUUUUUAAUCAUUUCGGUGAAUGGCGAUUAUUUAAGCCCUGAGAAUUGUACAAAUGCAAUUUUUGUAUAUAUGAAUAUGGCUGAUCAGAUUUUUUAAUAUACAAAAGAUGUAUAUAUAUUUUUGGUGCACAGAUUUAUUAUUAUUUCUUUUUGUUUCUCCCUAUUUAAUUGGUUAAAGUAGAUUUGUUUCAUAUACUUUAUAACCUUGGUUCAAGUCAAUUAGGGCAAGAGGCAUGGAAGUCAUGCCACAAU